GGUUUUUAUUCUAUUCCAUGCUUUCAUUUUAUAUCUCAAAAUGAAAAUUUUCCACAAAAUAAUACUUAGAAUACAUAUAUAAAAUAAAUAACACACAAAUGGGCCAGGCUUGGAGCCAUCCUGAAAAACUAAAGAUGUGAAAUCCAGAAUUGAACCUGGAGUCUUCAAGGUUGUAUGUGAAUUCUUUAAAAUGUGGCCAUCUGGUCGAGUUUUUAAGUCUAGCACUAUUGUGCAUCUAAUGAAUAAUAGUGUAAGUAUAUUUUUAGGCUUUUAUAUAUAUAAGCAAAUGAAGAAAGACAGUGAUUCACUUUACAGCAAUGGUGUGGAAUGUAAGUGCUGUAAUAACAAUGUAUGCCUGUAAUUGGACUUUUUUACAUAUUGAGAAUAAUUACAAUUUUUUCAAAUUGAAAACAUUCAUAAAUAUCAAAUGCAAUUUCUUUUAUAAUUUAAUAUGUAUUAUUAUAGAUUUUAGAAAACAAUAUGAUUUAAAAGAGUAUCAAGCAGUUUUUAUUAAAUUUUUCUAUGACUAUGAAAAAUAAGUUAUUAUAAAGUGCAAUAGUAAAAUUAUACUCACUUUAUUUCUGUUAUUACUAAUAUAGAUUUACAUAUUUGAUAUGUAAUUUUUCCUAAGCAAGAUCACCAAG
This 644-nucleotide long non-coding RNA is filed under the name Androctonus crassicauda. Lineage: Eukaryota; Metazoa; Arthropoda; Arachnida; Scorpiones; Buthidae. The record is from RNAcentral.